AAGAUUUUAAGUUAAUUAAACUAAAAAUUUUCAAAAUUUUAAAUAAAGUUUUAUCUUUAAAUCUUA
RNAcentral lists this transfer RNA (66 nucleotides) under Rhyacophila kando. RNAcentral's name for it is "tRNA-Trp". Lineage: Eukaryota; Metazoa; Arthropoda; Insecta; Trichoptera; Rhyacophilidae. The record is from RNAcentral.